AGGCGCGAAACCUUUACACUGCACGACAGUGCGAUAGGGGGAUCCCAAGUGCACAGGCAUAGCGCCUGUGCUUUUCGGUACCCUAAGGCGGUACCAGAAUAAGGGCUGGGCAAGACCGGUGCCAGCCGCCGCGGUAAUACCGGCAGCCCAAGUGAUGGCCGAUCUUAUUGGGCCUAAAGCGUCCGUAGCUGGCCACGCAAGUCCAUCGGGAAAUCCACCUGCCCAACAGGUGGACGCCCGGUAGAAACUGCGUGGCUUGGGACCGGAAGGCGCGACGGGUACGUCCGGGGUAGGAGUGAAAUCCCGUAAUCCUGGACGGACCGCCGAUGGCGAAAGCACGUCGCGAGAACGGAUCCGACAGUGAGGGACGAAAGCCAGGGUCUCGAACCGGAUUAGAUACCCGGGUAGUCCUGGCCGUAAACAAUGUCUGCUAGGUGUGGCUCCCACUACGAGUGGGUGCUGUGCCGCAGGGAAGCCGCUAACAGCCGCCUGGGAAGUCGUCCGCAAGGAUGAAACUUAAAGGAUUGGG
RNAcentral lists this ribosomal RNA (529 nucleotides) under uncultured archaeon. Its description in RNAcentral is "bacterial SSU rRNA". It matches the Rfam family "Archaeal small subunit ribosomal RNA", at positions 337 to 868 of the family's 1478-position model. RNAcentral also lists the same sequence under 1 other name. The record is from RNAcentral.